UUAUGGUGGGCGACUCUAAGGAGGACUGCCGGUGACAAACCGGAGGAAGUGGGGAUGACGUCAAGUCAUCAUGGCCCUUACGGCCUGGGCUACACACGUGCUACAAUGGUCGGUACAAAGGGUUGCCAAGCCGCGAGGUGGAGCUAAAUCCCAUAAAACCGAUCGUAGUCCGGAUCGCAGUCUGCAACUCGACUGCGUGAAGUCGGAAUCGCUAGUAAUCGUGAAUCAGAAUGUCACGGUGAAUACGUUCCCGGGCCUU
Molecule: ribosomal RNA, 259 nt
Filed under: uncultured Pseudomonas sp.
Lineage: Bacteria; Pseudomonadati; Pseudomonadota; Gammaproteobacteria; Pseudomonadales; Pseudomonadaceae
Description: partial 16S ribosomal RNA
Rfam family: Bacterial small subunit ribosomal RNA
Source: RNAcentral